AACGCACCUUGCACCCUUUGGUAUUCCGAAGGGUACGCCCGUUUGAGUGUCAUUGUAAUCUCACCCCCGAAAAUUUUUUUGGGAGUGGACUUGGACGUUGCCGUGUCACGGCUCGUCUCGAACGUCUCAGUGUGACCUGUUUGCAGGCGUCUACAGUGUGAUAGGUAUCUUCACUGUGUUGGUCUCUUCGGAGGCGCGCUCUCGGACGUGGGCUUCUACGCUGCCAACCGUCUUCGGACAAUCUCUGACGAUUUGACCUCAAAUCGGGUGGGACUACCCGCUGAACUUAA
RNAcentral lists this unclassified non-coding RNA (290 nucleotides) under uncultured fungus. RNAcentral's name for it is "partial contains 5.8S ribosomal RNA, internal transcribed spacer 2, and large subunit ribosomal RNA". Lineage: Eukaryota; Fungi. The record is from RNAcentral.